Molecule: ribosomal RNA, 503 nt
Filed under: uncultured bacterium
Lineage: Bacteria
Description: bacterial SSU rRNA
Rfam family: Bacterial small subunit ribosomal RNA
Source: RNAcentral
AUUGAACGCUGGCGGCGUGCUUAACACAUGCAAGUCGAUCGGUAACAGGUGUAGCAAUACAUGCUGACGAGAGGCGGACGGGUGAGUAAUGCUUGGGAAUCUGCCUAUUAGUGGGGGACAACCCGGGGAAACUCGGGCUAAUACCGCAUACGCUCUACGGAGGAAAGCCGGGGACCGCAAGGCCUGGCGCUAAUAGAUGAGCCCAAGCCGGAUUAGCUAGUUGGUAGGGUAACGGCCUACCAAGGCGACAAUCCGUAGCUGGUCUGAGAGGACGACCAGCCACACCGGAACUGAGACACGGUCCGGACUCCUACGGGAGGCAGCAGUGGGGAAUAUUGGACAAUGGGGGCAACCCUGAUCCAGCGACGCCGCGUGGGUGAAGAAGGCCUGCGGGUUGUAAAGCCCUUUCGGUGGGGAAGAAAAGUCUCGACCUAAUACGUCGGGACCUUGACGUAACCCACUAAAGAAGCACCGGCUAACUCUGUGCCAGCCGCCGCCGUAAU